AAAAUUUUGCUGACCCAACAUUAAAAAUUCAAAACAUUUGAUUACCCAACCUCAAAUAUCAAUUAAAAAAUAAAUACCUACCACUGGUAAAAAAAUCACAAAAGAAUACCAUGCAGUCAGUUGUCAAACAUGUCCUUUAUUACUUCUGUGACAUGAGUUUAGGGGCCGACCACUUAACUUUUGAGGGGGGGGGGGGGGGAUUUUGAAAAAAAAAAUUCCUGCAAGGCUAUUCUGGAC
Paramuricea clavata is the source of this 237-nucleotide non-coding RNA. NCBI's taxonomy places the organism in Eukaryota, Metazoa, Cnidaria, Anthozoa, Malacalcyonacea, Plexauridae. The record is from the annotation of a GenBank genome assembly.